UUUCUAAAACAUAAUUAAUAUACAGCCAUUUCAAAACCAAUGCUCCAUCCUCCAAUCCAUCACCAUUUUCAAUUGAAUACCGGCAAUCAAAAUCGAUGAAGGAGGAUUGGUAUCAAGAACCCUAGAUCUAUUAAUAAUUACGUAUCUUAUGUUUCUUCAUCAAUUCAGUUUUUAAUCGGUCUCUCAAUCAUUAUCUUUAAGGAUCUGAAGAUGUAUAAGUUGAUUGUUUCAUCCCAAUUCAGUUAUUACAGUUCAGAUUUAUUUUCUCAAGGGUAAUGUUGUCACACCCCAACCAAUGGCGGAAACAUCGGGAUGAGACGAAGUGUGAAGAUUGCUAGAGACAUCAUAACGCUAUUUGUGACAAUAUUUAGAAAAUCCAAAUUUCAUUUCAUUUCAUAACUUCAAAUAGUCAACAUUACAAGAAAUUCAAAUACGACAAGUUUAACAAAACAACAUGAUAACAUAACAAAAUUUUGAUACAACAUUUUAAACCCUAACGUCUAUAUGUGUAUCUAGGCAUCAACGCUACUUCAUUUCAUAGCAUCAUCGUCCU
This 553-nucleotide long non-coding RNA is filed under the name Helianthus annuus (common sunflower). RNAcentral's name for it is "sRNA HanXRQr2_Chr09g0381511". The record is from RNAcentral. Lineage: Eukaryota; Viridiplantae; Streptophyta; Magnoliopsida; Asterales; Asteraceae.